Molecule: ribosomal RNA, 468 nt
Filed under: uncultured bacterium
Lineage: Bacteria
Description: partial 16S ribosomal RNA
Rfam family: Bacterial small subunit ribosomal RNA
Source: RNAcentral
GACGAACGCUGGCGGCGUGCUUAACACAUGCCAGUCGAACGGAAAGGCCCUGCUUUUGUGGGGCGCUCGAGUGGCGAACGGGUAAGUAACACGUGAGUAACCUGCCCUUGACUUUGGGAUAACUUCAGGAAACUGGGGCUAAUACCGGCUAGGAGCUUCUGCUGCAUGUUGGGGGUUGGAAUGGUUCGGCGGUUGGUGAUGGAUUCGCGGCUUAUCAGCUUUUUGGUGGGGUAGUGGCUUACCAGGGCUUUGACGGGUUGCCGGCCUGAAAGGGUGACCGGCCAAAUUGGGACUGAGAUAAGGCCCAGAAUCCUACGGGGAGCAGCAGUGGAGAAUAUUGCACAAUGGGCGGAAGACUGAUGCAGCAACGCCGCGUGCGGGAUGACGGCCUUCGGGUUGUAAACCGCUUUCGCCUGUGACGAAGCGUGAGUGACGGUAAUGGGUAAAGAAGCACCGGCUAACUACGUG